This 484-nucleotide ribosomal RNA is filed under the name uncultured bacterium. RNAcentral's name for it is "partial 16S ribosomal RNA". It matches the Rfam family "Bacterial small subunit ribosomal RNA", at positions 30 to 507 of the family's 1533-position model. The record is from RNAcentral.
AUUGAACGCUGGCGGCAGGCCUAACACAUGCAAGUCGAGCGGAUGAAGGGAGCUUGCUCCUGGAUUCAGCGGCGGACGGGUGAGUAAUGCCUAGGAAUCUGCCUGGUAGUGGGGGAUAACGUCCGGAAACGGGCGCUAAUACCGCAUACGUCCUGAGGGAGAAAGUGGGGGAUCUUCGGACCUCACGCUAUCAGAUGAGACUAGGUCGGAUUAGCUAGUUGGUGGGGUAAAGGCCUACCAAGGCGACGAUCCGUAACUGGUCUGAGAGGAUGAUCAGUCACACUGGAACUGAGACACGGUCCAGACUCCUACGGGAGGCAGCAGUGGGGAAUAUUGGACGAUGGGCGAAAGCCUGAUCCAGCCAUGCCGCGUGUGUGAAGAAGGUCUUCGGAUUGUAAAGCACUUUAAGUUGGGAGGAAGGGCAGUAAGUUAAUACCUUGCUGUUUUGACGUUACCAACAGAAUAAGCACCGGCUAACUUCGUG